This 497-nucleotide ribosomal RNA is filed under the name uncultured bacterium. RNAcentral's name for it is "partial 16S ribosomal RNA". It matches the Rfam family "Bacterial small subunit ribosomal RNA", at positions 28 to 507 of the family's 1533-position model. The record is from RNAcentral.
GAUGAACGCUGGCGGCGUGCCUAAUACAUGCAAGUCGAGCGAACGGACGAGAAGCUUGCUUCUCUGAUGUUAGCGGCGGACGGGUGAGUAACACGUGGAUAACCUACCUAUAAGACAGGGAUAACUUCGGGAAACCGGAGCUAAUACCGGAUAAUAUUUUGAACCGCAUGGUUCAAAAGUGAAAGACGGUCUUGCGGUCACUUAUUGAUGGAUCCGCGCUGCAUUAGCUAGUUGGUAAGGUAACGGCUUACCAAGGCAACGAUGCAUAGCCGACCUGAGAGGGUGAUCGGCCACACUGGAACUGAGACACGGUCCAGACUCCUACGGGAGGCAGCAGUAGGGAAUCUUCCGCAAUGGGCGAAAGCCUGACGGAGCAACGCCGCGUGAGGGAUGAAGGUCUUCGGAUCGUAAAACUCUGUUAUUAGGGAAGAACAUAUGUGUAAGUAACUGUGCACAUCUUGACGGUACCUAAUCAGAAAGCCACGGCUAACUACGUG